This 449-nucleotide ribosomal RNA is filed under the name uncultured bacterium. Its description in RNAcentral is "partial 16S ribosomal RNA". It matches the Rfam family "Bacterial small subunit ribosomal RNA", at positions 29 to 523 of the family's 1533-position model. The record is from RNAcentral.
AACGAACGCUGGCGGCAUGCCUAACACAUGCAAGUCGAACGAGAUCUUCGGGUCUAGUGGCGCACGGGUGCGUAACGCGUGGGAAUCUGCCCUUUGGUUCGGAAUAACAGUUGGAAACGACUGCUAAUACCGGAUGAUGACGAAAGUCCAAAGAUUUAUCGCCAGAGGAUGAGCCCGCGUAGGAUUAGCUAGUUGGUGUGGUAAAGGCGCACCAAGGCGACGAUCCUUAGCUGGUCUGAGAGGAUGAUCAGCCACACUGGUACUGAGACACGGCCCAUACUCCUACGGGAGGCAGCAGUGGGGAAUAUUGGACAAUGGGCGAAAGCCUGAUCCAGCAAUGCCGCGUGAGUGAUGGAGGCCUUAGGGUUGUAAAGCUCUUUUACCCGGGAUGAUAAUGACAGUACCGGGAGAAUAAGCUCCGGCUAACUCCGUGCCAGCAGCCGCCGUAA